GGCCUGCUUUUGCCACCCUGGCGCCCCGAACUCUGUGCCGCCGCACCCUUCACCCAGUCUUGGGACGGCUGGCGCUAAGAAUUCAUGCUAUGACCUUCGAUUCAGCCAGGAGGUGACACCAAGCUCGAUCAGAAACUAUGCCACUGGUGAAGAGGUAUAUUGAGCCCUGCGUGGCCCAGUGAGGUUACUAGAGAAUUGGAAGAGUCUCAAAUCAGCAUCCUGCACAUGGUUAUCAAACCAUUGUGAAGUCUUAGUAAGUGGUCAGUGGCUCUGGUGGGCUUGCCCAGUUAGUGUCUUAACAGGCACUAGGCAGUUACUUGAUAUUUUCCCAUUAUGAUAUGAAAAGUUUUUUGUUUUUUGUUUUUUUAGGGCUGUACCCGUGGCAUAUGGAGGUUCCCAGGCUAGGGUUCAAAUUGGAGCUGUAGCUAUAUGCAGGCCUACACCACCCACAGCUAUAGCAACUUGGGAUCCGAGCUGCGUCUGCAACCUACGCCACAGCUCACGAGAGUGCUGGAUCCUUAACCCACUGAGUGAGGCCAGGGAUUGAACCUGUGUCCUCAUGGAUACUAGUUGUGUUCUUAACCCACUGAGCCACAAUGGGAACUCCAAAAAACAGUCUUUAUUUCAGACUAGAGAGUGAUGAGCCUAAUCUCUCUCUUUCCCCGUCUCCCAUUUUUGCAGAUGAUAUCUUGCCCACCAUAAUAGUUGGUGUAGAAAAUGGAUUUGAAUCCAAGCCCAAUAUUGUUUCUUCCACCUAGUGCUUCCUCUAGAUUCCACCUAAGUCCAAGGAGGCGAUGUGAGACAGAAACAUUUUUAUUCCACAUGGAAAGAUUAUAAUAGCCUCUGACAUUGUGCUCCUCUGAUGAAGGAAAUGUCCAUGGUAUAAAUUUUUAUUGUGCAUAAAAUCACCUGGGAAGCUUGUUAAAAAUGCAGAUUCCUAGGCAGCUAGAAGCCUUGUCAUUGGUCCAGAGCAACAUGAAGACCUACUUGUCACUUACACUGAGGCUUCCUGCCCAGUGGGUUCACCAGCAAGCCAGAAGGAAGCAUCACUGCCAUGGAUGUCCUUGUGAGGCAGUUGUGAAGCCUUGGAGAGCUUUAGAAACAACUUGUCAAGUUUUCACCACAAAUACCAUUGGAGUUACAAUUGGAGUCUCACUGAAUUAUAGAGUAAUUUUUGGAGAGCUAUCAUCUUUAUAAUCUUCUCAUACAUGAAUGUGUCUUGGCUACUUGUAGAUGUUGCAUUGCUGCUGCCGCUGCUGCUGUUACUACAACUACAAUUGCUGCCAGUUGCUCCUUGCGUAGGACCAGAGUGAUCAUUCAUCAGAAACCUCAUCUUCACAGUCUGGGGUUUGUUCCUGUGGCUGGUAUUCACAGUUUUCCCCUUCCAACUUUACCUCAGCUAUCCCCUUACCUACAUUAACAGGAGUUGCUGGUAGAAGACUUCAUGAAGGAGAGAAGAAAAGGAAAAAAUCAGAGGAUGACUACAGCCUCCUUCAUCUCAGCUUUUCAAAGCAUUACUCAACAGAGGGAUCACUCUCUUGAAUACUCUCCAGACCACAGGCCAUCAGUCUAUUACAGGCUCUAACUGGGAGGAGCCUUAUUGUGAAUGAAGCUUCGGUGGGUGCUAGGAGUAACACCGUGUUUCUCUGGAUAUGAGAAGAAUGGAGGGCAGAGAGCAAGGGAAGGAAGCUAUGAAAUAUUGGAGUAACAAAUGCUUGACGUUUUAGUGGGUAUUGGACCUAGAAGCCUAUAUGAUUGAAGGAAGCAAACCUGGAGAGGUCUGAUGUUUGUGAGUGAAGAUAGGAGUGAACUCCUUAUUGCAAUUAAAAAUGGAGUGAGGGGGAGGAAAAAAAUGACAGAAAUCAUAAGAUCCAUUACUUCAGUGAAGGAAGCACUGAGACUUGCUUCAUAAACCUGUAAUUUUUAAAGGUAGAUUGAAGAUAAGUUGUUGUGCUGCACUAUUUCUAUUCCUACCCGUGAGAGUUACUGCCAGCCACUCUUCUCAGGUAGAUCUGCCUUUAUGGAAAUUUCUGUUGACCCACGUAAAGAAACAACCCAGAAAAACAUUUGCAACAUUGAAGAACUCUGGUUCAGUGACAGGGUGUUAAAGGAGUCGAGGAUAGAGGAAAUAGCUCAAGUAGUACCAAAUAGCUCAGGUUGUUUUUUUUUUUUUCUUUUUAAUAGGAUGAUUGGGCCAGAGACAGUGGGCAGAAUGACUUCAGGCAACCCCAAACACCAGAUAUGGCAUAAGGAAACAGUUCAAGGAAAAGGUCAAUCCUUGGACCUAGUAUUUGUGAUGCAAUAUCUUAAAUUAAAAGGAAGAGCUGCUUUGGAGAAGGGUUUUAAAAGAUUGUAUUUCAUAGAAAGAAGAAAGAUUUGAGGAGAAACUUCCAAUUAUAUAAGAUGGGCAUUAUAACUUUUAAAGACAUCUGUUGCCUGCAUGGGUCAUAGAGAUUGAUACCAGUAUCAGCCUGUGGCUGACUAGGCCAGUUUAAGUGGUUUCCUGUUCGAAGAGAGAUGCUGCCAUUCUCUCACUUUGGCAGGUAUUCACCUGCAAUGAGUCCAGUACCUGGAGGAGCAAGAAAAAAACAAGCAUCCAGGGGGACAAUAGUAUAGCCUUCUGAGUUAAGAUAGCAACUGAAAAGAUCAUGGGAUUGGCUGCACUGGGCUGGGCUUGUUUGUUUUUUCAAAAUAAAAAAGUUUUCUUUUUGAUGACAAAAGUAAGAGAUGAUCAUUCUUUAAAAAUAAAGUGAAAAGUAUAAAAGAGUAAUGUGCUUCCUUUUACUCUAAAAAAAGUGUAUAUAACACAGUUUAAAAAUAAAAUUGACAUUGUAUUUUCUGACUUUUCUCAUUUAAAAAUAAGCAUUCUUCCAUGUCAUUAACAUUAUUUAAAAAUACAAUAUUGUGUCACAUUUCAUAUGGAUCUAACAAAAUUUAUUUAGAUCGUCUCAUGAUGCAGAUAUUUUGGAUG
Molecule: long non-coding RNA, 2971 nt
Filed under: Sus scrofa (pig)
Lineage: Eukaryota; Metazoa; Chordata; Mammalia; Artiodactyla; Suidae
Description: lncRNA (ENSSSCG00030057859.1, ENSSSCG00060021910.1)
Source: RNAcentral